GACCCAUAGACUGGAGGUAUUAGUUUCCAUCCUGGCCAGAGGACCAGACCCAUAGACUGGAGGUAUUAGUUUCCAUCCUGGCCAGGGGACCAGACCCAUAGACUGGAGGUAUUAGUUUCCAUCCUAGCCAGGGGACCAGACCCAUAGACUGGAGGUGUCCUCUUCACCUCGGGGACAGGGGACUUUGUUGGUCUUCCAGCCAAUCUCACCUUUAGUAUUUGGUCCCAUUUUCCUUGCUUGCAGUGAUUAACCUCACUUGGGCAGGUGGGACGCUACCGUCCCACCCACGGUUAACACUAUUCAACAGCCAGUGAAAAUCAGAGCGCCAAAUUCAAAACAACAAAAUGUCAUAAUUCAAAGUUCUCAAACAUACGACUAUUUUACACCAUUUUAAAGAUACACUUCUCCUUAACUACAUAUAGUUUGUGACUCUACAAACUUGUUGAAUUAAUUUGCAGUUUGUCUUGGUUGUGUUUUAGAUAAUGUUUUUCCUAAUAGAAACUGAAUGGUGAAUAACGUCCUGUCAUUUUGGAGUCACUUCACUUUUAUUGUAAGUUAGAAUAGAAUAUGUUUCUGAAUACUUCUUCAAAUUACCAAUGUCCUUAUAUGAACUGUAACUCAGUAAAUGUUUGAAAUUGUUGUAUGUUGCAUUUAUAUUUUGGUUUCCGUAGUUUCAUCAGAUGUUGUUCUUUACCCAGACACCCUGCACAGUCUGUAGAUGUUAUCUGUGGUUAGAGGCAUUUAUCAAUGCAUUCAUUCAGACUGUCAACAGAUAAUAUAACAUACCUGAUUCCAACAUUAAGUGCAGGACUUUAUACAAGGCAUUUGGUCCAGGUGUUCCAAUUGUCUAGAGAAAUGCAUUUUCUCUCCGCUCCUAGAAGGUACUCUGCUAACUGGUAAUAUAGGAGAAAUCUGAAAUGUGGCAUUGAAUUCAUAGCAGUAACGGGACCAGUCUAAAAGCCACUAUGAUAGGAACAGUAUCUAUACAGGAGAAUGAUCAGAGUUAUGUCUCCACUAUUAAAGGGACAGUAUGAUCAGAGUCAUGUCUCCAAUGUUCACUUUAGGGAAAGAAGUCACACUUCCUGUUUCC
Molecule: long non-coding RNA, 1090 nt
Filed under: Salmo salar (Atlantic salmon)
Lineage: Eukaryota; Metazoa; Chordata; Actinopteri; Salmoniformes; Salmonidae
Description: lncRNA (ENSSSAG00000089907.1)
Source: RNAcentral